Molecule: ribosomal RNA, 253 nt
Filed under: uncultured bacterium
Lineage: Bacteria
Description: partial 16S ribosomal RNA
Rfam family: Bacterial small subunit ribosomal RNA
Source: RNAcentral
UACGGAGGGUGCGAGCGUUGUUCGGAAUCAUUGGGCGUAAAGGGCGUGUAGGUGGUCUGUUAAGUCAUGUGUGAAAGCCCUCAGCUUAACUGGGGAAGUGCGCAUGAAACUGACAGGCUAGAGUACCGAAGAGGAAGGUGGAAUUCCAGGUGUAGCGGUGAAAUGCGUAGAUAUCUGGAGGAACACCGGUGGCGAAGGCGGCAUCCUGGACCAUAACUGACACUGAUAAGCGAAAGCCAGGGGAGCAAACGGG